This 253-nucleotide ribosomal RNA is filed under the name uncultured bacterium. Its description in RNAcentral is "partial 16S ribosomal RNA". It matches the Rfam family "Bacterial small subunit ribosomal RNA", at positions 524 to 776 of the family's 1533-position model. The record is from RNAcentral.
UACAGAGGUCUCGAGCGUUAGGCGGAAUCACUGGGCUUAAAGCGUGUGUAGGUGGAUCGUUAAGUACCUUGUGAAAUCCCACGGCUUAACCGUGGAACUGCUUGGUAUACUGGCGGUCUUGAGCCAGCUAGGGGCUACCGGAACAAAUGGUGGAGCGGUGAAAUGCGCAGAUAUCAGGAGGAACACCGGUGGCGAAGGCGGGUCUCUGGGCCGAUACUGACGCUGAGGAGCGAAAGCGUGGGGAGCGAACAGG